UCCCCCCUGCAGGUACCUCUGGGUCUGUGGAACCUGGCGCACGGUUCUUCCCCCAAAGCUGCCAGGACAGCCAGGCUGGGGGCAGUGCCAGACCGGCAGCAGCCGCGCAGUGGAGCAAUCAUUCUGGGAGGUGUCCAAAGCUGGCCCAAUUUCUCUGAGGCGGAGCAGAGGAGCCUGAAUGGGAGGUUCCCAUAAGGGACACAGAGGACCUGAUCCGCUAUUCCUCCGCCAGGAGGUCCCCCAGGGCUACACUGGUAAGGUCUGAGCUGGGGUGAACACCGCUGUGGCGAUCUGGGCCAUUCUGGGCAUCCGGACCAGCUUCUCCUAGCUGCUUCCUCGGUUAGUCUGUCCGGCCCCAAGACACCUGUCACUGCUCCCGUGGUAUGCUCAAACUGGGGGCUGGAAGGCGGGCUACGGCCUACCUCCGGCCGCGCUCUGGAGCGCAGCUUAGGGGCCGGCGCACCGGGGACCGCCCCCUAGGGCUGCU
RNAcentral lists this long non-coding RNA (487 nucleotides) under Marmota monax (woodchuck). Lineage: Eukaryota; Metazoa; Chordata; Mammalia; Rodentia; Sciuridae. The record is from RNAcentral.